GCAGAGGUAGCGAAGUUUGGCCCAACGUGCAGGACUUAAGAUCCUGUGGCUUAGCGCCCUCGAGGGUUCAAAUCCCUCCCUCUGCA
RNAcentral lists this transfer RNA (86 nucleotides) under Candidatus Parvarchaeota archaeon. RNAcentral's name for it is "tRNA-Leu". It matches the Rfam family "tRNA". From Rfam's summary of the family: Transfer RNA (tRNA) molecules are approximately 80 nucleotides in length. Their secondary structure includes four short double-helical elements and three loops (D, anti-codon, and T loops). Lineage: Archaea; Nanobdellati; Candidatus Parvarchaeota. The record is from RNAcentral. RNAcentral also lists the same sequence under 2 other names.